AUGGCUAAUUGCAGCUCCGCUAUCUGCGAGCCGUCCGUCAGGGCUUACAAAGCAAACACAGCCUACCUAAACAACGGCAGAAACUCAGCCAGUGGUUCCAGAUUUUAUCUUGCAGCCAAAACAAGUCGUCGUACGUCAAGCGCUUCACUCUCUGCAGUUUGCGUUUGAAAGACUUUUUUUUUUUCCCAUAGAAUAUUCUAGCAUUCCAGUAGCUGAACAGAGCUUAAUAUCCUCAGAUGGCGCUGAUGAAUAAUGCCCAUCUGACAUGACGGCAGACAGAAGUCGUCCACAGAGGACCUGGCCAUCGUCUUGGAGCAAGGUGCUGCCCCCGACUCACCUCGCCAUCCGCCACAUCCAAUCCGAGGGGCAUCUGGUGCUGACGGCGGGCACUGCCCAGUUCUGCCCGGAAACGGGUUUGGGGGAGAGGGCUACAUUCUCCAACUACAGGUAACGACCGGGUACGGACGCCGGAACGAGGCAUCUGAGACCACGGAAAGUUUACACGCGUUUAAUACCUUCGCCGGCAUGGCGCUCACAUUCACAUGACUAAAGAAAAUAAGAGAGGCAGCUUGGACACUGGGGCGCCGUCGAAUGGCCGCAAACCCUCCCCCUGUAUGGUUUGCACUGGGCACAGUAAAAAAAAAAGUAGCUAUGAAAACUGAUGGAUAGAUGGCUGCCCAAAUAAAAAUGAUAAAGUCCUCCGCGGGCCCCGUUGCGCUGGCGAGGGCCCGUACCGCUGCUUCCUGAACCAAUUUUAGCAGAGAUCAGAAUGAUGGCUCCUGUCAAGCUGUCCGCGUCCCUGCCUGAAAAACGCCAGCCCCCCCUCCCCAGCCCUUGACCGCCACCACAGUCCGCAAAAGGAUUUGUUUUUUAUUUACGGUGACAAUAUAAUUGGGAUAAUAAAGACCGUAGGCCACAUUAAGAGCGGACUGGCAUAUUUACUGUGCGUGAACCUGCCCCCCCUCGCUGCCCCCCUCCCUCUGAAGAUCAGGUCCUGCUGCACGCCACAGGUGCAGAGUUUUACAUGGGGGGAGAUUUACGAGGGCAGCAACUUAGGGGCUGUGAGGGGGCACACUGCCCUCUCUCAGAUAACAGCGACUCUUGGGCUGGAGGAGGAUUCACAGGGCGGGACUUUUAAAUGAGCACAAAUGGGUUGAUUACCUCCAGACUCCCCCCCCCCACCACUCCCCCAUUCUCAGGGCAUGUUGGGACUUCUAGGCUGAAUACAUAAUAUGGAAAGUCUACUGCUGUAUGUCAUGACCUAGUGACAUUAUCACAUUCAGGUCAUUAUUUGUGUCUCGUUAAUAUAAAAUGUACUAACACAAGGGAUUCUUUUUUUUAAUUACUAACAGUUUUUUUUGUUAAUUACUACUGUAAACAAUAAUUUUAAUACUAUUAAUAAUGUUAAAAUAUUCUGAAUAUCAUAUUAUGCUGGUGCAUUUUUAAUUUAAACUCAUAGAAUUUGCUCUGUUUGGUGGCGAUGAACUGUAACAUUAAAGAUUGCGCUGCAGCAUCAUAAUUCAGCCAUAAUAAACAUUAGCCGUAGCUACACCACAUUAUUUCGUUAACCCCAUAAAUGUAUUUGUUUUGCCAUCGUGCAGCUGUUGUAGAUAGAUGCCAGCAGUUCUAGAACAGAGUUAACAGGAGAGGAGAAUCCCUCUGAGGCAGCGUUUCGAAGCUUGUCUGAAAACAAAAACCGUUUUAGCCCGGUUUAAAGAGAUUCACAUAUGGCUUUAAAUAUUAUAUUUAUGUCUGUAAAACAAGGCUGCAUGUCAGACUGGAAGAGAAAAGUGUGAUCUCUGA
This is a long non-coding RNA of Paramormyrops kingsleyae, 1803 nucleotides long. RefSeq lists it as uncharacterized. Lineage: Eukaryota; Metazoa; Chordata; Actinopteri; Osteoglossiformes; Mormyridae. The record is from RefSeq and is a predicted model, not a curated record.